UGUUGUAAUCCUCUCACCCUUAAAAUGAAAAAGUCCUGGAGGGUUGUCCUUCUUGGCAGCUUUGGAGCCUGAAUCCAGGCACAGCCAGAAUUGCAAGAACGAGGAUUUCAGAGAUCAGAAAGAGCAGAGGAAACCAACCACCGUGCUGCUGCAAACUCCUGGGAGCUGCAAAAUGAAAAAGAAGAGCGUGCAGGGCGCAUUCAGCUUCCCUGAGUUAAUGGAUUAUUGAUUAAUGUUCGGAAAAUCACACAAAGAGGUUUGCUGUGUUGUCCAUGAUGUGAACUUCUUUUGCUCCUUCUCAGUGGAUGCUGUAAGAGCAUUUGGAACAGAUUCCUUGAGCACCCAAGAAGAGUCACCAGUGAUGUUUAUCCAUUCUCCAGAUGAAGAUGAAGCAGGAGGCAAUUACAGCCAGUACUUUUUUAGAGCUCUUAAACACACCCAACAGCUAUUUGGUGCUUCCUUUUAGAGAGACAACUUUUCCAUAUGCCACAGAUUUUCCACAGGACAAUCCUGGUUGUGCUAUCAGACUAGCACAAGAGACUUUCCACUCAUGUGCAUUCUCCACUCAGGAAACUAUUGCCAACUCUUAUGUGAAUAAGGAAAAGAAAGCAGGGCUGGCUCAGUUUCUCCCACUAGCAUGAUCCAGAGGAGCUCUUCCUUUAGACACGUAAGCAACAACCUCCAGUCCAUGGCCAACUCACUUUCUACUCAACUUUGGAGAUAGAUAUGAAAAUGUAUAAAUCCAGCAUACUUAACUUUGGUAAUAAAAAUUAAACAAAACAGUUUACUUUUGUAAGAAUAAAGAAAAGUCCACACC
Molecule: long non-coding RNA, 817 nt
Filed under: Fukomys damarensis (Damara mole-rat)
Lineage: Eukaryota; Metazoa; Chordata; Mammalia; Rodentia; Bathyergidae
Description: lncRNA (ENSFDAG00000027071.1)
Source: RNAcentral